This 499-nucleotide ribosomal RNA is filed under the name uncultured Glomeromycotina. Its description in RNAcentral is "partial small subunit ribosomal RNA". It matches the Rfam family "Eukaryotic small subunit ribosomal RNA", at positions 591 to 1092 of the family's 1831-position model. Lineage: Eukaryota; Fungi; Glomeromycota. The record is from RNAcentral.
CCAAUAGCGUAUAUUAAAGUUGUUGCAGUUAAAAAGCUCGUAGUUGAAUUUCGGGAUCAAUAUAUCGGUCGUGCCUUGGUACGUACUGGUAUCAUUGGUUUCUCCUUUCUGACGAACCAUGAUGUCAUUAAUUUGGUGUUAUGGGAAGUUAGGACUGUUACUUUGAAAAAAUUAGAGUGUUUAAAGCAGGCUUUAGCUUGAAUACAUUAGCAUGGAAUAAUGAAAUAGGACGUUUGAUUCUAUUUUGUUGGUUUCUAGGAUCGACGUAAUGAUUAAUAGGGAUAGUUGGGGGCAUUAGUAUUCAAUUGUCAGAGGUGAAAUUCUUGGAUUUAUUGAAGACUAACUACUGCGAAAGCAUUUGCCAAGGAUGUUUUCAUUAAUCAAGAACGAAAGUUAGGGGAUCGAAGACGAUCAGAUACCGUCGUAGUCUUAACCAUAAACUAUGCCGACUAGGGAUCGGAUGAUGUUAAUUUUUUAAUGACUCAUUCGGCGCCUUACG